UACGGGGGAUCCAAGCGUUAUCCGGAAUUACUGGGCGUAAAGAGUUGCGUAGGUGGCAUGGUAAGCGAGCAGUGAAAGCACCCCGCUCAACGGGGUAAACAUUGCUUGAACUACCAAGCUAGAGGAUGAGAGAGGUAGAUGGAAUUCCUAGUGUAGGGGUAAUAUCCGUUGAUAUUAGGAGGAACACCGAUGGCGUAAGCAGUCUACUGGCUCAUUUCUGACACUCAGGCACGAAAGCAUGGGGAGCAAACAGG
RNAcentral lists this ribosomal RNA (254 nucleotides) under uncultured bacterium. RNAcentral describes it as "partial 16S ribosomal RNA". It matches the Rfam family "Bacterial small subunit ribosomal RNA", at positions 524 to 776 of the family's 1533-position model. The record is from RNAcentral.